RNAcentral lists this ribosomal RNA (119 nucleotides) under Lepisosteus oculatus (spotted gar). Lineage: Eukaryota; Metazoa; Chordata; Actinopteri; Semionotiformes; Lepisosteidae. The record is from RNAcentral.
GCCAACAGCCAUGUCACCCUGCAACUCACAACUGGCAGCCCACUGAAGCUCAGCAGGUGGGAGCCUGGUCAGUACCUGGAUGGGAGACCUCCUGGGAAAAACUAAGGCUGCUGCUGGAA